GACGAACGCUGGCGGCGUGCUUAACACAUGCAAGUCGAACGGAAAGGCCCUGCUUUUGUGGGGUGCUCGAGUGGCGAACGGGUGAGUAACACGUGAGUAACCUGCCCUUGACUUUGGGAUAACUUCAGGAAACUGGGGCUAAUACCGGAUAGGAGCUCCUGCUGCAUGGUGGGGGUUGGAAAGUUUCGGCGGUUGGGGAUGGACUCGCGGCUUAUCAGCUUGUUGGUGGGGUAGUGGCUUACCAAGGCUUUGACGGGUAGCCGGCCUGAGAGGGUGACCGGCCACAUUGGGACUGAGAUACGGCCCAGACUCCUACGGGAGGCAGCAGUGGGGUAUAUUGCACAAUGGGCGGAAGCCUGAUGCAGCAACGCCGCGUGCGGGAUGACGGCCUUCGGGUGGUAAACCGCUUUCGCCUGUGACGAAGCGUGAGUGACGGUAAUGGGGAAAGAAGCACCGGCGAACUACGU
RNAcentral lists this ribosomal RNA (467 nucleotides) under uncultured bacterium. RNAcentral describes it as "partial 16S ribosomal RNA". It matches the Rfam family "Bacterial small subunit ribosomal RNA", at positions 28 to 506 of the family's 1533-position model. The record is from RNAcentral.